ACAUUGAUUACGGGGAGCCUGAAAUUUCCAGGCUGAGAGGAGGACGCAAAGUCCUCGACCCGCUGAACCUGAUCCGGGUAAUGCCGGCGUAGGGAGGCACACGCGAGUUAAU
This 112-nucleotide non-coding RNA is filed under the name Leptolinea tardivitalis. Its description in RNAcentral is "TPP sequence". It matches the Rfam family "TPP riboswitch aptamer (THI element)". Rfam says of the family: Vitamin B(1) in its active form thiamin pyrophosphate (TPP) is an essential coenzyme that is synthesised by coupling of pyrimidine and thiazole moieties in bacteria. The previously detected thiamin-regulatory element, thi box was extended, resulting in a new, highly conserved RNA secondary structure, the THI element, which is widely distributed in eubacteria and also occurs in some archaea. The record is from Rfam by way of RNAcentral. Lineage: Bacteria; Bacillati; Chloroflexota; Anaerolineae; Anaerolineales; Anaerolineaceae.